GGGCGAAUGGUCUAGAGGUAUGAUAUUCGCUUUGCAUAAAUCUGACUAUUUCAGAGUGAAAUGCUUGCGAAGGGUCUGGGGUUCAAUUCCCCGUUCGUCCA
Molecule: non-coding RNA, 101 nt
Organism: Xylaria digitata
Lineage: Eukaryota; Fungi; Ascomycota; Sordariomycetes; Xylariales; Xylariaceae
Source: the annotation of a GenBank genome assembly